This 497-nucleotide ribosomal RNA is filed under the name uncultured bacterium. RNAcentral's name for it is "partial 16S ribosomal RNA". It matches the Rfam family "Bacterial small subunit ribosomal RNA", at positions 28 to 507 of the family's 1533-position model. The record is from RNAcentral.
GAUGAACGCUGGCGGCGUGCCUAAUACAUGCAAGUCGAGCGAACGGACGAGAAGCUUGCUUCUCUGAUGUUAGCGGCGGACGGGUGAGUAACACGUGGAUAACCUACCUAUAAGACUGGGAUAACUUCGGGAAACCGGAGCUAAUACCGGAUAAUAUUUUGAACCGCAUGGUUCAAAAGUGAAAGACGGUCUUGCUGUCACUUAUAGAUGGAUCCGCGCUGCAUUAGCUAGUUGGUAAGGUAACGGCUUACCAAGGCAACGAUGCAUAGCCGACCUGAGAGGGUGAACCGCCACACCGGAACUGGGACACGGUCCAGGACUCUACGGGAGGCAGCAGUAGGGAAUUUUUCCGCAUUGGGGAAAACCUGGAGGAGGCACGGCGGGGGAGGUAUGAAGGUCCUCGGAUCGUAAAACCCUUUUAUUAGGGAAGAAAAUAUGUGUAAGUAACUGUUCACCACUUGACGGUACCCAAUCAAGAAGCCACGGCUAACUACGUG